GACGAACGCUGGCGGCGUGCUUAACACAUGCAAGUCGAACGGAAAGGCCCUGCUUUUGUGGGGUGCUCGAGUGGCGAACGGGUGAGUAACACGUGAGUAACCUGCCCUUGACUUUGGGAUAACUUCAGGAAACUGGGGCUAAUACCGGAUAGGAGCUCCUGCUGCAUGGUGGGGGUUGGAAAGUUUCGGCGGUUGGGGAUGGACUCGCGGCUUAUCAGCUUGUUGGUGGGGUAGUGGCUUACCAAGGCUUUGACGGGUAGCCGGCCUGAGAGGGUGACCGGCCACAUUGGGACUGGGAUACGGCCCAGUCUCAUACGGGAGGCAGCAGUGGGGAAUAUUGCACAAUGGGGGGGGGCGAGAUGCGGCAACGCCGCGUGCGGGAUGACGGCCUUCGGGUUGUAAACCGCUUUCGCCUGUGACGAAGCGUGAGUGACGGUAAUGGGUAAAGAAGCCCCGGCUAACUACGUG
This 468-nucleotide ribosomal RNA is filed under the name uncultured bacterium. RNAcentral describes it as "partial 16S ribosomal RNA". It matches the Rfam family "Bacterial small subunit ribosomal RNA", at positions 28 to 507 of the family's 1533-position model. The record is from RNAcentral.